CAAGGAAUCUUGCGCAAUGGGCGAAAGCCUGACGCAGCAACGCCGCGUGGGGGAAGAAGGCCCUUGGGUUGUAAACCCCUUUUGCAGGGGAAGAUAAUGACGGUACCCUGCGAAUAAGCCACGGCUAACUACGUGCCAGCAGCCGCGGUAAUACGUAGGUGGCAAGCGUUGUCCGGAUUUACUGGGCGUAAAGAGCGCGUAGGCGGCUUGUUAAGUCUGGGGUGAAAUCUCCCGGCUCAACCGGGAGGGGUCCUUGGAUACUGGCAGGCUGGAGGGGAGCAGAGGAGAGCGGAAUUCCCGGUGUAGUGGUGAAAUGCGUAGAUAUCGGGAGGAACACCAGUGGCGAAGGCGGCUCUCUGGGCUCUACCUGACGCUGAGGUGCGAAAGCGUGGGGAGCGAACCGGAUUAGAUACCCUGGUAGUCCACGCCCUAAACGAUGGGCACUAGGCGUCGCGGGUGUCGACCCCUGCGGUGCCGUAGCUAACGCGUUAAGUGCCCCGCCUGGGGAGUACGGUCGCAAGGCUG
This 525-nucleotide ribosomal RNA is filed under the name uncultured bacterium. Its description in RNAcentral is "bacterial SSU rRNA". It matches the Rfam family "Bacterial small subunit ribosomal RNA", at positions 355 to 896 of the family's 1533-position model. The record is from RNAcentral.